Cordylochernes scorpioides is the source of this 80-nucleotide non-coding RNA. The record is from the annotation of a GenBank genome assembly. Lineage: Eukaryota; Metazoa; Arthropoda; Arachnida; Pseudoscorpiones; Chernetidae.
ACCCUUGAGCCGGAUUUGAACCAGCAACCUAAGGAUCACCGUUGAACCAUCCUCCGCUCUGCCAACUGAGCUAUUGAGGG